Molecule: non-coding RNA, 447 nt
Organism: Nicotiana tabacum (common tobacco)
Lineage: Eukaryota; Viridiplantae; Streptophyta; Magnoliopsida; Solanales; Solanaceae
Source: RefSeq, a predicted model, not a curated record
AUAUCCUUUCGUGCCUAAUUCUAUUCUUUUUUUAAUUUCUUAGGGUAAACGCAUCUACUUUCCAAAAACACUCUUGUGUAAUUGUCCUUAAACACUCUCUGCCUGACGUACAAAGACUGCAAAAAACGUACCCAUCCAAUUCUCUCCCCAAAAGAAUAAUCAAAAUUGUUUCUGUUACAAAACCAAAGCUAAUCUAUAACACCCAGUAAUUGAUUUUUUUUUCCUUCAUUUGUAACACAACAAAUAUUUUUUUCAAGAAAAGGCAUCGGUCUUGUUUCAGCUGUAGUUGUUGAAAGGGUGCAGGGUUUUCGGGUUCAGGUUGCUGAAUUUUGGUGGAGCAAUUCCUGUUUACUCUACCCUGUGCAAAGAAGGAAGAGGGAUCGUGGUCGCAUCUGUAGAAAGUAGCUGGGGAGAUAUCACACAGGGAACAGUUUUGCCCAGGUAUUU